GACGAACGCUGGCGGCGUGCUUAACACAUGCAAGUCGAACGGAAAGGCCCUGCUUUUGUGGGGUGCUCGAGUGGCGAACGGGUGAGUAACACGUGAGUAACCUGCCCUUGACUUUGGGAUAACUUCAGGAAACUGGGGCUCAUACCGGAUAGGAGCUCCUGCUGCAUGGUGGGGGUUGGAAAGUUUCGGCGGUUGGGGAUGGCAUCGGGGCUUAUCAGCUUGUUGGUGGGUUAGUGGCUUACCAAGGCUUUGACGGGUGGCCGGCCGGAGAGGGUGACCGGCCAAAUUGGGACUGGGAGACGGCCCAAGCGACUCCGGGAGGCAGGAGGGGGGAAUAUUGCACAAUGGGCGGAAGCCUGAUGCAGCAACGCCGCGUGCGGGAUGACGUCCUUCGGGUUGUAAACCGCUUUCGCCUGUGACGAAGCGUGAGUGAGGGUAAUGGGGAAAGAAGCACCGGCUAAUUACGU
This 467-nucleotide ribosomal RNA is filed under the name uncultured bacterium. RNAcentral describes it as "partial 16S ribosomal RNA". It matches the Rfam family "Bacterial small subunit ribosomal RNA", at positions 28 to 506 of the family's 1533-position model. The record is from RNAcentral.